This 301-nucleotide ribosomal RNA is filed under the name uncultured Methanosarcina sp. Its description in RNAcentral is "bacterial SSU rRNA". It matches the Rfam family "Archaeal small subunit ribosomal RNA", at positions 577 to 879 of the family's 1478-position model. The record is from RNAcentral. Lineage: Archaea; Methanobacteriati; Methanobacteriota; Methanomicrobia; Methanosarcinales; Methanosarcinaceae.
GGGGAUACUGCCAGGCUGGAACCGGGAGAGGUAAGAGGUACUACCAGGGGUAGGAGUGAAAUUUUGUAAUCCUGUGGGACCACCUGUGGCGAAGGCGUCUUACCAGAACGGGUUCGACGGUGAGGGACGAAGGCUGGGGGCACGAACCGGAUUAGAUACCCGGGUAGUCCCAGCCGUAAACGAUGCUCGCUAGGUGUCAGGCAUGGCGCGACCGUGUCUGGUGCCGCAGGGAAGCCGUGAAGCGAGCCACCUGGGAAGUACGGCCGCAAGGCUGAAACUUAAAGGAAUUGCGGGGGAGCAC